AGCCCGUAAUGGGCUCGCAUUCUGCGUGUUAAUAGCGUUUUCCGAUGGCCUGGGAGCGUGGUUAGUGAAUC
Molecule: non-coding RNA, 71 nt
Filed under: unclassified sequences
Description: L13-Bacteroidia ribosomal protein leader
Rfam family: L13-Bacteroidia ribosomal protein leader
Source: RNAcentral